UCCGACCUCACAUCGGAGGAGAUUACCCGCUGACUUUAUGUAUAUCUCUAUGUGGAGGAAAAGAAAAUAUAUAUAUAUCCU
This 81-nucleotide ribosomal RNA is filed under the name Conasprella vimineus. RNAcentral describes it as "partial 28S ribosomal RNA". The record is from RNAcentral. Lineage: Eukaryota; Metazoa; Mollusca; Gastropoda; Neogastropoda; Conidae.